RNAcentral lists this ribosomal RNA (472 nucleotides) under uncultured bacterium. RNAcentral describes it as "partial 16S ribosomal RNA". It matches the Rfam family "Bacterial small subunit ribosomal RNA", at positions 28 to 507 of the family's 1533-position model. The record is from RNAcentral.
GACGAACGCUGGCGGCGUGCUUAACACAUGCAAGUCGAACGCUGAAGCUUGGUGCUUGCACUGGGUGGAUGAGUGGCGAACGGGUGAGUAAUACGUGAGUAACCUGCCCUUGACUCUGGGAUAAGCCUGGGAAACUGGGUCUAAUACUGGAUACGACAUGUCACCGCAUGGUGGUGUGUGGAAAGGGUUUUACUGGUUUUGGAUGGGCUCACGGCCUAUCAGCUUGUUGGUGGGGUAAUGGCUCACCAAGGCGACGACGGGUAGCCGGCCUGAGAGGGUGACCGGCCACACUGGGACUGAGACACGGCCCAGACUCCUACAGGAGGCAGCAGUGGGGAAUAUUGCACAAUGGGCGGAAGCCUGAUGCAGCGACGCCGCGUGAGGGAUGACGGCCUUCGGGUUGUAAACCUCUUUCAGCACGGAAGAAGCGAAAGUGACGGUACGUGCAGAAGAAGCGCCGGCUAACUACGUG